This 17729-nucleotide long non-coding RNA is filed under the name Jatropha curcas. RNAcentral's name for it is "long non-coding RNA (JCUR_LNC002385)". The record is from RNAcentral. Lineage: Eukaryota; Viridiplantae; Streptophyta; Magnoliopsida; Malpighiales; Euphorbiaceae.
AAAAAAAAAAAAAAAGAAAUAAAAAUACCUAUGCUUUUAUUGUGUUUCAGCCAUUCAUUUUGUUAAGAUUUGAUGGGAGGUUUAAAUUGAUAUAAUCUUAAAUUCAUAUAUUGAAUUGAAAAAAUUACGAAAUCAAAUCGAAGAAAAAGUAAACUUUCUUUUUAUUUGAUGCAAAUUGAAUUGCUUAGCGUGACUAAUAAACUACAGGCCCAUUUUGGCCCAUUCUCCAAAUUUUGGGCCCUCAUACUGGGCCUAAACGCACUCGUACUUUUACCCAAUUCCUCUUUGGCAAAAACCCAUAACUAUAAAUUUCCAUCUAUCUCUGGUAGGAAAAAGAUAAAAUUCCAACUAGUCCAUGAGGUUCAGCCAACUGUACAGUUUCAUCCCAAUAUUUAAAAAUAAAAGGAAUUAAGGAGUCCCAAAAUUUAAUUCCAUUAAUGAAAUAAUAUUUUUAUUUCCAUAGACCUGGUUUAGGUAGGUCUAAACCUUAUUAUAAUUAAUAUUAAUUAACCAAUAGUCAAUAAAUAUUUUUUUGAAAAAUAUAAUUCAUUAACUAUAAUAUCAAACAUUACGAAUAAUCAUAUAGAUCAGACAAUGAAUUUUACUAUCAUAAGCUAAUAGAGUUCGUUGAUCUUUUAACAAGCUAAAAUAAUUAUAUAUAUUCUUUUGAAUGAUAAUACUAAAUAUAAGAAAAUAUAAUAUUAUAUCUUUCCACUUGAAGAUGAUCUUGAUAAAAGAUAUAAAUAUUCUUAUUACCAACUAGUUUUUUAAUUGAUUUGGAUAGUAAAAUAAUAAUUACUUUGGAUCUUUUAUAUCUGAAUUGUUUUUAGCUAAAUUGUUUUUUCAAGGACUUGUAAUAUAUAACAUACACAUAUGAAUUCUCGCCAACAUACAUCAAUAGUAUCAAUAGAGGAACAAGUCGCACUAUUAGACUUCGUUGAUCAAAGAUUCACAUUUACAAAUCAAUAUCAAAAGUUUCCAACCAAAUAAAAUCAAAUAUUAUACUUUUAUUUAUAAUAAACUCUCAUACAGAAGGAACAAAAAGCUCUAAAUACGGAAACAAAAUAACAAUAAUAAAAAUCAAAACAAAUAUAUUAUAUGAUAAAUAGAUAUGAAUUUAUUAAAAUGGCUAAGAGAAUUUAAAAGAGAAAAAGAGAAGAAGUUGAAUCAAAGGAAAAAAAUAGAAUGUAGGAGAUUAUCACUAAUCAACAUCAAGCGGCCACAAACUAAAUUUUUAAACAUUUUAUAAAUUUCAAUCAAUGACUUCGUUAUUUUAGGUGUCUCGUCAUGCCGAAGAGAUAAUAAAAAAUCAAAAUUCGAAAGACUCAAGAAAGAUCAUCUUUUCACCAUUCAUAUUUAAAUAUAAUAUAUAUAACGGCAGAGCUUCUUAUGGUCGAAAGGUCGCUGGGCAAUUCUAAGAAAUUUUUUUUAAAAGAAAAAUUCUUAUGAAAUAUUAUAUUUUGGUCUUUAAAAAUAUAAAAAAAUUAUAUUUUGAUACCCUAAAAGUUUUUAAAACUUCAUUUAGCUUGUUUAAAGUAAUUGUCUUAGUUCUGUGCUGAAUAUAUAUAUAUAUAUAUAUAUAUAUAUAUAUAUAUUAAAUAUUCUAUGUAUUAUCCCUAUCACAUUUGCAUUGAUAACCAGGACAAGAAGCUUGUAGCCAAAUGUUAGAGUACUGACAACUAAUUCCCACUGUGAAAUGUUUUAUUAGCCUCUGAUCAUCAAUGAUUAAGUGGCCCACUUGUUUUAAUUUGUCCAGAACUUAUGGAAUAAUUAAUCAAGUAUUAAUAAUUAUUUUUGGAAGCGAACAUUCUAGAUAUACCUUUUUUCUCUUGUUCAGCUACUGCAACAUUUUUGUUGGAGAAUCAAGAACUUAUGGCUUAAAAUAUUCGCAUAUACUAUAUUAAGUACUCCCAUCUUCAAAAUAGUUCAUUUUCUAUUUUUACACAGAUUAAAAAAAUAAUAAUUAUUAUGAGUUUUGACAAUUCUAUUCCUAUAACUUUUCUAUCAUACCAUUUUAAAUAACAUAUGAGCAAUUAUUAUAUUUAAAUAAUAAGUAAAAAUUAAUGAGGGUUAUUGAAAAUAAGAAAAAAUUUAAUAAGGGUAUAAUAGACAAUUUCAUGAUUAACUAUAAUACAAAAAAGAAAAAUAAACCAUAUUUUAGGACAAAUUAAAAAGAAAAGAUGAAAUAUUUUUUUGAGGCAGAUCUAUUAUUCUUCUCACAAUAAUGAUUUUAUAAGUACAGUUUUUUUUUUUCUUUAUACUCAAAUGAUAUGAGAAGCUAAUUUUAUAAAAAACGAAGAUUAAUUUGUCUUUGAAUUUGUUUAAUAGGAUAAAAAAUGUCAAGAUUUGAUCUUUUUAGAUCAAUUUAACAUCUAAACUUAUUUAAAAUAAUUAAAAAGAUCAGAUUUAAUAUUUUGGAUUAAUUUAGUCCCUGACUAUUCGCUGUAUUUAUAACGUGAGAAUUCUUAUAUAGACAUUUAUUAAAAUUAUAGUUGGAAUCACGUGGUAUAAUUUAUUGAAAAAUUUAAUUAAAUAUCAAAUUGAGGAAAUAAUAUAUGAAAUAUAUUAUAUCCCUCUUUAUCUUGAUCUAUCAUUUUAAAUUCAUAAAUAUGUACUAAUUUAAAUAUUUUAAAAUUGAACUUUACUACUAGAUUAUUGCAUAUGCAGUUCAUGCAUUUCUCAUGUUAAACGAAUUCAAAGUUACACUACAUAUUUUAUAAAUUUACUGUGUUAAAGAAAUAAUAUUUUCGUGAUUUUAAAAUUCUAUUCAGAAGUAUUGGAAAAGUUUGAUCUAGAUAUUCCUAUUAAAUUGAAUCAAUUUAUUAUUUUGUAAAAAUCAAAAUAAAUUUAGUGGCUGAAUUGAUUUAAAAAAAAUCAAAUCUGACUUUUAAAUCCCAUAAAUAAGUUCGUGAGCUAAAUUAGUCUUUAUUCCAUUUUAUAACCACAAAGUCGUGUUUAAAAUUUUAAACAAUAUGGUUCUUAUGUUGCCUGUAACGGUUUCGUAUGCUCUAGUAGCUUUCUCUCUUUUGUCCAAGGUUUCUUGUCCUGCCAACAUGGAGAGGGACUUUAAUCAUUUGUCAAUCGCUGAUGAUGAGGAAGAAGGCUUGCCUGUUAACGCAUCUUCAGAUGCCACCAAGUCUACCUACGAAUUUUGUCUUGUCGACAUGUUCUUGACUUGCGGGACUGUGAAUUUUUAGUCCAUGCGAAACACUUUCGCAGAUUUGUGGCAUUCGCUCGGAGGGAUUAUAAUUACUGAUUUGGGAGCCAAACGUUUUCUGUUUCGGUUCUACAACAAAGUGGAUUUGGAUAGGGUUUUGAAUGGUGCCCCAUGGACUUUUAAUCGACACUUGCUGGUAUGGGGUCUGAUAAAAAAUGAUGAGGACCCGCUGCUGAUUCCUUUGCUAUACUCGGAUUUCUGGGUUCAGGUACAUAACUUGCCGGUCGGGUUAAUGUCUGCGGCAGUGGCCAAAUCAAUAGGGAAUUUCAUUGGUACUUUCAUUGAAUAUGACAUUAAGACUGUUCAUUUUGAUCCCAAUCAAUUUAUGAGACUGCAGGUUAAGUUGGAUAUUCGUACCUUUACGUAGAGGAAAGAAGUUGAUUGAUUCUAAUGGUAAUGUUCAUUAUGUCCAAUUCCAGAAUGAAAAACUUCUUGUGUUUUGCUAUACUUGCGGUCGCUUGGGACACACCGAUUCGUUCUGUAAAUUACAAUUGCACAAGUCUAAAAAAGAACUCAAGCCAGCUUGGGAUGAUCGAAUAAGGGUGCCGAUUCGCCGGAAAAUUCAGCAAACAACCAUGGCUGCAUGAUGAUAGAAAGUUUGAUGAUACUCCAAUCCAGGCAGAUAUUUCGGGAUGUGUGGGCGGGAAAUAUGGAGUUUUGAAAUCCCAACAAUUUUGAGCUUCCUUUUAUGGCACGAUAGUUAAUUUUAAUGUUAGUACUAAUCCCAUAGGCUUUAUGGAGACUGAUACAAAUUCUUUGAAUGGGUCCAAUACUGAUGGGCUUGACGAGGAUGUGGUCUUAGAAGAUGUGGGUGAAAUGAAGAAGAGGCCCCGAUGAUCCUUUUUGGUGAGGGUAUUAAAGUGGCUAGUGAUCCUUGAGGAGGAUCCUUUUUGCUGUAGAAUCAACGUGGUAGCUCUACUGUGGAUAUUGCCGUGAAGUACCUAUCGAAUUGGAGAGAAGUGUGUCUGCCACAUGAAGCUGCUGUGACGUCCAUUUCAGUGCUUCAUUGACAUGCACAUAAAGCACCAUCCAUUCACGCUCACAAUUUUGUUUGGAUUUGCUUCAUUGAUGGAUCAGUGUUCACAACCAUGGAUUUCAUUGGCUAUGCUUAUGUUAUUGAGGACAGUGAGGGACGGUUUCAACGUGCAGUGUCAGGGUUUCAGGAAGGCAAUGGCUCGGCGGUGGUGAUGGAGGCUAUAGCUCUUCGUUCCUGCCUUUCAUAUGCUCGUGAUUUUCUAUCUUUAAAUGGGUGUAUUUUUUCAAAUUGCCAAAAUCUUAUGAAUGCUCUCAAAUCCCAUUGUUUUAGAUAAUUUUGAAUUUGGUUUGAUUGUUCUUGAUUGUAAGCGAAUUUUAGAGUCUAGACAUGAUAUUACUGUCAGGUGGAUUCAGAGACAAGCUAAUAUGGAUGCUCACACUCUUGCUAGAGCAUCUAUACAUCAUGCUCGUUUCCAAAUUUGGGAUGAUGUUCGUCUUGUUAGUUAGAUUUUUUCCAUUGAGAUAAUGCAAUAUUAUUUCAUUUAAAACAAAUUUAAAACAAUAUAUAAAUUUUAUCAAACAAAUUUAAAUUAAUAACUCUAAAAAAUUUUAAUUUUUAGAUAUUAAAUGGUGUUAUUAGAUGUAAACUAAAUUUAUAUUGUUAUUUCAAUUUAAAUGUCUAAACAAAAUUCUCAAAUUCUUUUUUUGUUAAUAUUUUUUUGGAGAAAUAUAAUUCAUUAAUAAUAAAAGUAUUACAAAUACUCAAUUAGAUCAAAUAUAAAACUUAUUAUCAUAAUUAAUAAAAAGUUCGAUGAUCCUUCAACAAUAAAAGAAUUAUCUAUAUUUUUUUGAAUAGUAAAACUAAAAUUAAAAGAAACAGUUGGAGUUUUCCGCUUGAAAAAAACUUUGAUCGAUAUAAAUCUUCAUAGUAACAACUGAUCCUUUAAUUGAUUUGGACGAUAAAAUAACUUUUUCGAACUUUAUAUGCUUGGAUUGCUUUUUCAAAAAUUUGUUGCAUAUAACAUAUGCGGAUGAGUUUAAACCACUAUGGGUUAAUAGCAUGAAUGAAGGAACAGACUGUACUAUCAGGUUCCAUUGGUUGAAGAUACACAUCAGUAAAACAAGAUCGAAAUUCUCCAAUCAAAUAAAAUCAAAUGUCAUACCUUUUAAUAAUAAAUCUUCACAAGGAACUAAACCCUCUCAAAAGAAUGGGCAAAAAAACUCCAAAUAUGGAGACAAAACAAAUCAAUAACAAAAACAACAAUAACAAAAAUAUAUCUAUUAGAAGAAAAUGGAUUUGAGUUUAUUAAAAACAAAUAAAAGAUUAGGAGCCAGAAGAAAAAAAAAAAAAGUAUGGGGCUACUACUGAUUAACAAUGGCAACCUCAAACAAAAACUAUGAUUAAAUAAAUCAGAGAGAAAAGAGGAGGAGAGAAACCCUAAAACUAUCGAUUUUUUUUUUGUUAAUAUUUAAAAUGACGGUUUUUUUUUUUUUUUUUUUUUUUUUUGCGAAUGUUAAACAAAUCCCUAAAUAGUAUAGGUAAUAAAAUAAAAAAAAAUAUGUAUCACUUUAAUAAUAAUUUCAUGUUAAAAAAUGUUGGAAAAAUAGAGCUCUUGAAUAGGAAAAUCCGGUAUCGAAUUUUUGCUCUGCUAGGGUUUAUCACUUUAACAUUUAAAAAAAAAAAAAAACUAUUUUCAAGACAGUUCAUUUUCUAUUAUUUCUUUUUAAUAUUGAAUAUUAAUUAAAUAACUUACUUUUAAAAAUAUUUUUCCUUGACUUUUUUAAACACUUUAAAUAUAGAAAAAAUUCAAAAAUAUUUUUUAAAUAAAUUAUUUUCAAGAAAAAAUCUUGGAUAAUGGAAAUUUGGAAAAUUAGAUAAAUAAUAAUAAAACCUUAUGCACAGCAAACAUUUGUUAUAUGGUGUCCCAAGAAUAGUAAAACUUGUGGCUGAAUUUUGUAUUUCUUUUUUAGAUCACUCUCUAUCACGCUCUUAACAAUUCCCAUUUGCUGAAGUGGUCCCCAUAAAAGUAUUCUUGAUUGAGAUUUGAAUACGAAUUUCAAUUAAGUAAGCUUCAAGUUACAAACAUCAUCUUCACAAAAUUUCCUUCAUUGGUGAAGCAUUUAUCAUUUGGUAAGUUUUCUCAGAUUUAACACUAUGUUUGGAAUUGGGAGAUUUUAUGAUAGGAAGAAAAUUUUGAAUGGAAAAUAAGAAAAGAAAGCUAUUUUCCUCCUGCUUAAAUGUAAAUAAAAUUUGAAAGGAAAGAAAAUAUUACCAAAAUCCUUUCUGUCCCAUAUUUUAUUAAUCUCUCCAAAUUGGCGAGAAAAUAGGAGAUAAAUGUAUAAAAGGAUAGAAGUGUAAAUUUACAACAAUACAAUUUUCUUUCCUCCAUAUUUUAGACUUUUCUAAAUAAUAUAUAUAUAUAUAUAUUUUUUAUUUUUUUUUUUCCUUUCAAUCUAAACAUAAAAUGGAAAAUAAAGAAAAAAAGAGCUCUUGUUUUACUCGGCACAUGUACAAAAUAUAAGACAUCAAUGUGUUGAACAUGCAAAUCCCAUGCAUGUAUCUGCCAUGCAGGGAUUCAUAAUUAGCUCAACUGAAAAAUUGUUAAGAUCUUUCUUCAUUGUCUUUUUGUCAUAUAAAAAAACACGAGAAAAAUAAAAUAAAACAAGAAAAGGAAGCGCAUGCACAUGCCUGUAAAUGUAUAAUAUACAUCCAUCCAAAUGGGCAAAGAUUAGAUGCCUUCUCACCAUUUUUCCGCGCAUCCAAAACCGUAAGGGGCCACUCACACUUGAUGUGCAGGAUACUUAAAUCAGUUACGCAGCCAGAAAAUUAAAAUUAGAGAUAAAAAAAUUUUCAAGAGUUAACAAGAGUGAGAUUAAAAAUUUUAUUAUUUUAAAAGGAAAAAUAAAAAAUUUUAUUAUUUUUUAUUAUUAGACUAAUUUUAAAAGGUAAAAUAAUAUAUUUUCAUAUAUUAUUAGACUAAUUUUAUUUUAAAAUUUAAUAUUAUUUCUUCUAAGUAUUUUUUUAUGAAUAGAAAUUUUAAUAGAGAAUUAGAGAUCAUCCACUGGAUUUAAAAGUUAAAAUAUAUUUAUAAAUUAUUUCAUCUAUUACACUUAAAUUAUCAACUUGUAGCUUCUUCAUACAAAAUAAGGAGAUAAUUAAUUUAUCUUAAAUCUAUAAAAUUUUCAUUUGAAAUUAUUUUAAUAUUUAUUUUAUAAAAUAUUAUUAAGAGCGAAUGAAUAGUGAGAUCCAAUAAAGAAGAGUAAAAAAUUAAAAAUGUAAUAUACUCUUUUCUAAAUUAUAUAAAAAAAUGACACUUAAAAUAGAACAAAAAAAAAUCUUAAAAGUUAAACAGAAUAUCGGAAGUAUAAAUAAUAGAUUUUAUUUUUUAUUUUUUAAAAAUCGAAUUAAUCAGAGCAAUACUAACAAAAUAAUAUUGUAAAGUUACUUAGGACAUCCCUUCCUCUUAUCUCUCCGUGUGGUCGCUUUCAUUGGCUUCAUAAUCAUACACAUAUUCAUGGCCCACUUACGAAGCCAUCUCACAACCACAAAAUAUAAUUUUCAAAAGAAAAAUGACCGUUCGGACAGCUUGUUAAGUUUUUCCACACUUCUUCCUCACUUUCCCACUCUCUAUAACGGCUACAAUAGAAGGCUCUGGAACAAUCUACCUGUUUUAAGACGGCGGGACACGUGUAACCAAUCACAUGGGCUGCUUUUGCUCGAAAAUGGAGAAGAAUAAGCUGUAGUGUUACUCUUAGAUGUGAAUUAUUUGCUUCAAAUGAUGCUUUAGUUGUUUCUAGUGAAAAUAGAGCAAUAGUAAUUUUUUUUUUUUACCAUUUAAUAUGAUGUACAAUGAAUUUUUUACACUAUGUACUAUUAUGCAGCAGUUACAACAUUUUAAAGUCCAUCAAAUAGUAUAAUCCAUUAGAAAAUCCAAUAAAUUUCUCAUUGCUCUUUUGAAUAAUAUUUACUAUAUUUGUGCAUAUUAAUUAUUAAAAAAAAUUUAUUUACACCCGGUGUUUGGAUCUAUUUAUACAUCAAAUCAAUCACAAAUAAUAUUUUGAUUUAAUCAAAUGUAUUUCUAAUCAUAUAUUAAAAAAAGAUAAAAUAAUAAUUUUUUUGAUUGGUUUACUGAAUGAGACUACCCAUAUACUAAGUGUUGAUAAAAAUUUCCUUAAUUAUUAUAGAAAAGUUAGAAAUAAUUCAAUCGCUUUUCCUUAACUUACUUUUUUGCACUUAAUGUAAUAAAAAAAACUUCAAAACUUUAAUAAUGUAAAAUGAUUCUUACUAAAUUGUAUAGUUAAGUCUAAUAGGAUUGUUGAGACUUUGGUUCUUAAUUUAUGAAAUUUCAAUUUUUAUCCUAAAAAAAAAAAAACAAAGUAACAGGAAAGCUCAUAUAAAUGAACAUGCAAGAGAAAAAAAAAUCAUUUUUUAACUAAAGUAAAUUAUUGCAUACUUCCCUCCUAGAUUACUCUGAAAAAUAAAAAAUAAAAUACACAAAAUUAAAAAUAUACGAGCUUUGUUAACAGAUACAUAUUACGUACAUUUACGAUUACAUUCUUAGCAUAAUAUCAAAAUUUUCAAAAACAUUACAGUUCUUUUAUUCUAUUUACAUUGUAAGUAUCUCUCUACACAGAUUAUGCCAAAAAUACUUUUUGAAUAUCAGUUAAUCAGAUUUAAAAUAGAAUCAGGUGCAGGUGAUAUUACUUAAAAAAAUAAUAUUUCACUGUGCCACGGCAUAUAAGAUAAAAGUGUAAUCGGCAUAUAAGAAGGCACAAAAUCAAGAGAGUUGACAUGAAUGGACUGCUGUUGGGAGUGUGAGUUGGACGGAUUUGAAAUAAAGAUAAGAGGAAAGGCAUAGGUGGGACCUGUUUACUGUGCCACAGCAUGAACCGUGAUGUUUUUUGCCAGCUGGUGGACACGUGAUUCUUGAUUAGUUCAAUUACUGCAUUUGAUCAAACAUGGCCCCACUCUUUGAAUAUUUAAUUUAAGAAAAAAACCCAACCAGAACACCUCAUAUUUCCUGACUGAAAUGCUUGCUUGCUGCGGGCUACUACAAUAUAUAAGAUAUAUCUAUACUGAAACCCUUUAUCUUUAAUUGGCAUUAUUAAAAGAUUUUGUAACCUUACACCGUGGAAAUACUGGAAAUGACAAUUUUAACUCAUUUAAAUGUAAAAGUUAAUUAACAAAUUUAUUUUGGAUAAUUUAUACAAAAUAUGAAUAAAUAUUGUAUUUCUAAAAUAUAAGUCGUUUAAAGUAUUGCAUGCGAUUAAUGAAUCAAUUAAUUUCGCUAAAAAUUAUAUCACUCCGUCUCAAAAUUUAAGUUGUCUAAGGUGAUAAUUUUAUCACAAAAUAUAAGUCAUUUUGAAUAUUUUAAGAAAUUACAAAUGAUUUUUUUUCUUUCAACUGUAUCCUUAUUUAUAUUAGAUAUAAUACAACGAUGUGAGAUAAAAGUAACAAUGAGAGAUAAAUGAUAAUUUGUUCAAAUUACUCUUGAUUUUGUUAGAAAUUUAGAAAAAUUAAUUGCAUUUUUAAUUCUCGUAUAAAAAUCUUAAACGACUUAUAUUUUGGACAAAUAGAGUAAUAAACUCAACAAUAAUUUGAUUUAUGAGAAUUAAUUUAAACGAUCAAAUUAUCCUUAAUCUCAAAAUCAAGUUAUUGUAUUAUGAAUAAAGUUAAAAUUGGAAAAAAGAUUAUUUGUUAAAUAUGUUUUGAAAUCAAAUAGUUUUAUGAGUUAAAAAGAUUAGAAAUAAUCAUUUUUUAAAUUCAUUUGGUGUUAAAUUGGGAUGAUAAAUUAUCAAAAAAAAAAAAAAAAUAUAUAUAUAUAUAUAUAUUUGACAAACAGAUUGAAAGCUAGUUCUUUUGAAAGUUUACUGAGAACACAAAUUACAAGCUCAUAGUAGUUAGUAGCUUGAUUAAGGAAACCCAUGAAGGACAAAAUGACAGUGGCAAAUGCCUUUGAGACCAAAAGGCUUCAGCUUCAAUUUUUUAUAACGUAACAUUUAAUAUCUUUCUCUUUAUGAUUUUUAAAUUAUUGUAAUUGCUAUCAACAGUAUAAAGUAUAGAAAAUUCAUUAUAUAUAAUAUUGAAUAAAAAAAAAAAAAGGGUGAGAAAUGUCAUUAUUUAUAGAAUUAAUUCACACAAACAUAAAUGCGAAGCUUCAUUCUACCUUUUAGGUGCUACCAUUCACUGAAGGGGAACGCACGCAUCAUUGAAGCUCAACGCCUGUCUUUUGCACUUUUCAAACUGAAUCAUUUCAUUCGUGAAAUAAAUUGAUGGAUAAAGGGCAAUUGCCAAACAAUAUUAACGGCAAAAACAAACGAGUCUUUUUUUUUUUUCUUUUUCUUUUCUUUUCAUUAGAAUAUUUAAAGUAUUGGUUAGAGGUAUAAUUAUAAAAUAUAAUUGAUCUCAUAAUUAAUCUUUUCCUUUUCUUAAUAAUAAUCAUUAUAGUCUUGCUUUUGGUGUUAUAGUUGUUUUUUUUUUUUAAUAAUAAAAAAAUAAUGUAUUAUGUCAAUCGAAUGUGAUCUGAUUGGUAUUUCCAUUCACCUUGAGAAGUUUCAAAUUUUAGAUAGUUAACUAUCAGAGUUAUCGUCAAUUUUGCUUAUAAAACAACAAGAGAGCUACCUAUAUUAUGCAGCCCACAAAAAUUCUUUAUAAUAAAUUAAAAAAAUAUUAUUUUAUUAAAAUUGAUAUAUUAUAUUUGUUAUUUAAUAGUUUGAACUAGAAAAAUAAGCUACUAAAAUUCACACAGAUUUUCUUAAAUAUAAAUUUUUACUAUGAAAAAUAGAAAUCAAAGUCAGAAAACAGAAAUGAUACAAAAUAGACACGUAAUCAUAUUUGAUGAGCAUUUCUCAUAAUACACGUUAGCUUGUUUAGCUUGUUUCGUGUAAAUUGAUGAUCCCAUUCUGUUUCGACAUAAAUGGUAUCAUUGGUUAUUAUAAACAAUUUCAAAAAUUUUUGAGCUACCACCAUAAAUACAACUUGUAUGAUUUCAAUUUUCAAAUUUAAAAGUUAUCUAAUAUCUACUUUAUCAAUGGACCUACACCUUUCCAAAUUUCUUGUUAAUCUUAUGCAUUAGAAAAUUUAGCCAAAUAAAAUUGAUAUUAUAUAUCAAUUUUAUUUAUUUUUCAAUUUAAAAUCACAAGUUUAAUUAUCGGAAAAUGCAUAUACUAUGAAGAAAAAAUUUUUAUAAUCAACUAUCCAAAAGAGAUUAGUUUACACCAAUAUAGUAGAAGAAAAAUAGUGGAAGAACACGUGACGAUUCUAAUAUGAUAUACAUAAACUAAAAAUAUUUUAAAGGAGUCUUCACUUAUAAUUUUGUUUUCAAAAUUUAAUACUUGUAAUUUGUUUUAACCAACUAUUUACUAUUUUUAAUUGAUUUUGUAAACUCAAAACUCCAUUUAUUUUUCAAAAAAUAAUUUAUUUUUAAAAAAUAUUUUUAAAAGCAAAACAUACUUGAAAAUUUGAAAUAACACAUUUUCUAUUGUUUGGUUACAAUAUUGAAAAAUUGUUAAAAAAUAUUAAAGCUUUUAUAAGAUCGAAAAAAUUUAUAAUUAUAAAAAGUUUCACAUUUUAAAAUUUUAUUAUUUAAUACAACAUAAAUAUUUAUUACGUGCUUGAUUGUAAUUUGUAUCUAAGACUUAAUCAUAUUUUAUGGACCAAAGAUAUAUUUUGUAUAGAAUCCAGAUAGAAAUAAGAGAUUAUAUUCCUAAAUCCUUCGCUAACUCUCAAUGAACUAGCAAUCACUCCAAAAUACUUAUUGAAUUGGUAUUUCAAAUAUUUAUCUAAUAAAGAUUCCACCUACAACUCUAAUGAAAAUUCUUUACCUCUGUAUAAAAGAGGGAUCAAACUCCCUACUCACACUAUUUAGGCAAUGUAAUACCAAUAUAUUUCAUUCAAUUAUAAGUAUUUAUUAUUUAUUUACUGACUUAAACAUAAAAGUGAUUGCAGGCCUAGAUGAGACCUUUAUUAUUCGUUUAUGUCUUGCAGAUUUCUACGGACCUCUCUUUAUUUUUCCUUGUUCAUUUAUGUCUUACAGAUUUUUACAUAGGCGCUAUGGAUAGAUUUUUCUAAGUCUAUCAUUAUUAAAUAUGAGAAACAAUAUUAUAAAAAAAGAUAAAUUACGAUAUCUAUCGAUGACCGUGGUCGUGAAAAUAAUGAUUAAUUAAUAAUAAAUAUGUAUUUAUAAGUUUAUAAUAAAUUUAUCAGUAUCUGAAAAAUAUUUUUCUCUUUUAGAAAAAGAAAGUUAUAAAAAUGAUUUAGUUCUCUCUUUCUUAAGGAAAAUAUCAUCUGUUGCUAAUUUUCUUGAACACUUCAAACAUUAAAAAAAAAUCUAAAAAAUAUUAUUCAGACAAGUUAUUUCUCGAAAUUAAUGGAAUCUCAAUAUUAAUUUAUUAUUAUUUUUUCCAUUGAGAAAAAAAUAUAUUAGAUUUAUUCCACUAUUGAGAAUAAAGGAAAUCAUUUAAAAUAAGAAAGCUCAAAAAGUUAUAGCCGUAAUACUAAUAGCAUUAUUUCAAAUUUGUUUGACAUGAUGUAAUCAACCGAAAUGAUAAUUACAUUAUAUGAGUAAUUACAUUAUUUGAUUAGACUUUUUUUAAUAGCGUAGUAUAAUUGAGACUACGUGUAUAAUCUUCAUCACUUAAAUUGAUGUAAUACUCAUUACAUGAAAAAACACACAUAUUGUCUAUUACAUCAAGUAAAUGGAAUACCGAUUAUAUUAAGUCAUCCCAAUCAAAACUCUACCAUUCUAGAUUAUUUAGGCUGUGUUGGGUAAUAAAGUUUUGAGUGGCUUUUAAAGUUUUGACUGGUCAAAACGUUACUUAAAAAGUUGUUUGGUAACAUAGCGUUUGGACUAGCUUUUAGAGAUUAGAAUAACGUUUUGUGAAAAGUUAACUCACGUAACGUUUAGCUUUUAGCGUUUCAUGAAAAACUACUCAAACAGCUAACAACUAAACACUAUUAAAAUAGCAAAUAGCUACCAAAAUAGCUAAUUUUGCCGAACAUAUCCUUAAUACUACCACUUCACCACCACAACCACUAUCACCGCUUCACCACCACAGCACCACCUUAACACCCACCACAACCACUGCCACAAUUACUACUCCACCACCACCACCACCACUACUGUUCCAUCACUACUUCAACCACCAUUACCGCUCUGCAACGACAACCAUCACCAUUGUUCUACCAUCACCACUACUACCACCAUCACUGCUCCAUCACUAUCACCUCAACUACCACCACCGCUGCUGCUGCCUCAACUCCUACCAUCAUCGCUCCACCACCACUAUCACCACCAUCGCUUUACCACCACCACCAUGUGGUGGUGAUAUGAUUAGUGGUGAUGGUGUGCUAAUUAUAUUACAUAUUUACAAAAAAAAAAAAAAAGAACGAUGAUUAUAUUCCUAAAUUUUCUUGAUAAUAUUAUCAAACAUAGUAAUGAAAUCUUAAUUAAAUUACGUUUUUCAUCACAUUACUUCUUUAAUUACAUUAUAUUGCCUUACAUCAAACCAGACAUAGCGUUAGCAUGUAUAUCCUCAUACACAUCAAAACUUGACUCUAAUAUCUAUGAGAAAAAUGCACAGUUAAGCCCUUAAAUUUAAUCAGUUUUUCCAUUAAACUUUUAUUUAUGAAUAUUAAGUUUUUAAACUUUUAUUUUUUUUAAAAAAAUUAAACUCUAUUUAACCGAGAUUUAAACUUUUAUUUUUUUAAAUUAAACUCUUAUUUAAUUAUGAGUUAAACAAUUAUAAUCCCAUAUGUUAUACGCGGUUGAUGGGAAAACUUAAUCGAAUUGUUAAAUCUCUUAAACUUUUAUUUUUUGAAAAUUAAGUUUUUAAAUUUGUACUUUUGUUAAAGUGAGUAUUUAAAUUAUUUCCAUUAUCAGUGAUUUGAAUUUAUUAUUUACUCACUAUCGAUUUAGAACUUAAUUUUAACUUAAAUAAAAAUUGAAGGAUUCAAUAUUGAUAAAUGAAAUUGCAGGAGCUUAGUAGACAAAACUUGAAAAAUAAGAGGCUUAAGUACAUCUUUUACCAAAUAUAAUCAAGAGUUAAUUUACACUCACACAUAGGUGAGGAUAGGAUUAGGAUAGAAGUGUGGUAAGUGCCCGCGAACUUUGAGUUAUCCAUAUCUAUAUCUGUUUAGAGCUUUAAAAUCAAUUGUAUCUAUGUUAAAUCCGUUUAAAUACCUAUAUCAAAAUCUGUUUAAAAUUUUACUGUCCGAUCCAUUCAAAAUCUAUUUUAAAUACUUGUAUUUGAUGUUCAUAAAAUUUAAACCAUUUAAACACGAACUUAUUUAAAAAAGUAUCUUCCAUUGAUAAUGGAUAAAGUAUCAAGGAUACUCACAGUAAAACUCAUUUAAUAUAAUGGAUAACAAGUAACGAAUAUUCAAACUCAUUUAGUAAAACUCCUGAAUUCAAACGACAGGAUUUGCAAGUGAAGAGAGAUGGAACCUAAAACGGUUGGCUAUGUACUCAAUGUAGAUUCACUAACAAAGUACAACAAAUGCAAAUACCAAGUAAAAAGGAACAAAUGGUUAAGAAUUCAGACAAAGUCCUAACUUCAAAGUUCAAAGUUCAAACCAUAAAAUCAUUUCAGUAAGGAGAAAUCAAACUAAAACUUUUGAAUGUUAAAAUUUCAACUUUAACCACAGAACCAAAACCCUGUUAGCUAUGUACUAACACAAAGUGCAAGAAACACCGAGUACGAACUCAAGCACAGUAAGAUUGAGCUGGAUUGCCCAUAACCCAAAAACACUAGAAUGUGUCUGGUGUGGAGGGGUCCAGAAGCCAACUUAAAUAGAAGCAGAGGGACAACACUGGAAAUUAUGAUUUAAAAAAAAAAAAAAAAAAAAAACUAAAAAGCAAAGAGAGAAACAGACAAGAAAUAACCGUUGUAGGGGUGGCUUUUUGGGUUGGAUGCCAGGCUGACGCUUGAGCCCCCCUCAGAUGAUUCAGCUCACAUGGUCUAUCUGUACACUCUGGGUCCCACCCUCCACUUUCUCUCUCUACUACCCUCUUUGGAUUAGUUGUCAAAUGAUCCUUUUAUGUUAUCAUAUUACACACUUUCAUCCUAUCUAUUUCAAAGUUACUAACUUUAGUUAAUGAGAUUUAAUCUGCCAAAUGCAUAAAUUAAUAUCUAAAUUUUAUAAGAAGAGUCUAGUAGCACCUUUAAACGUUGAAAACUUCUUUUCGUAAAAUUAUAGCUAGUAAAUGCCUUAAUUUAAAAAACCGUAUUUAUUAAAUACUUAAACGUAUAUAAUUAUGUUUAUUAAAUAUUUAUCGGAUGAUUUAAAAUAUAAAAAUUUUAUUAUUUAAUAAAUUAUAUUAAAAGUUAUAUAAAAUGUUACACUUAUUGAAUAUAUUAUUUAGUAAUUGUUGUAAAAUUAAAAACCCUGUUUUUUUUUUUUUCAAAUUAAGUUGAUACUUAGUCUCAACUGUGCUUUUAUCCAUAAUUUUAAAUAAUUUAUUUGUAGAAACCCUAAAAACCAUAUAUUUUUCGUUGACAUAUCAUAAAAAUUAAAAUUAUUAAUUUCAAACUGUUUAAAUACUGGUAAAAUGUAAAAUAAUGCAAAUGGUGACAGUUUUUGCAACCAACUUUUUUUCUUGGAAAUUCUCUGUAUUACAAUCGUCUUUUAUAAUAUUUUUAUUAAUAUUAUUUUGUUCCAAACAUGCCCUUGUCUUAUCCAAAUAAUGCCCCGUACUCUCCUGCCCUUCUCUCUAUUCUUAUAAGGGCAGUGGCCUGUGGAUCAAAGACCACAGUCCCAAGAGAGAAGAGAAAGACAAAGCAAUUAAGCUCACAAGAGAGAAGCUCUUCUAUUUUCUAGAGUAAGAAAGAAGAAAGAAGACGAUGGCCAAGGAAGUAAGUGAAGAAACGCAAACUACCCAUGCAAAGGAUUAUGUUGAUCCACCACCUGCGCCACUGAUCGACAUGGCUGAAAUCAAGCUCUGGUCUUUCUACAGAGCUUUAAUAGCUGAGUUCAUAGCCACUCUCCUUUUCCUUUACAUAACUGUAGCCACUGUAAUUGGCUACAAGAAACAAACUGAUCCAUGUGGUGGAGUUGGUCUUUUGGGCAUUGCAUGGGCCUUUGGUGGCAUGAUCUUUAUCCUUGUUUACUGCACUGCCGGUAUAUCUGGUAAGUAAAAAAAAAAGGAACUAUUUCUCUAAGUUACUAGUACCCAAAUGGGUAUUUAUUAAGUUUUAGGUUUCUGUGAAGUUUCUUUGUGGAUUUGGUCAUUCAACUUGAAAAAUAACAAAACCCAUUUGUUUUCAAGACCUGUUUAAUAAUGGGUUUUCCUUAUUUUGGUUACAGGUGGUCAUAUUAACCCAGCAGUGACCUUUGGGCUGUUUUUAGCAAGAAAGGUGUCACUAAUUCGAGCCUUGGCUUACAUGGUGGCUCAGUGUUUAGGUGCCAUCUGUGGUGUAGGGUUGGUCAAAGCUUUUAUGAAGAAUCCAUAUAAUCAUCUUGGUGGUGGUGCUAACUCUGUAAAUACCGGCUAUAGCAAAGGAACUGCUUUGGGUGCUGAGAUCAUCGGCACUUUUGUUCUAGUCUACACUGUUUUCUCUGCAACUGACCCCAAGAGAAGUGCACGUGACUCACACGUUCCUGUAUGUUAUCAACCAUAGCCUAGUAUAGCUCUCCUCUUUCAUGUCAAAGAGUUCAAAUCUAAACUUUGUUUUGGUUAUGUUUGGUUGCAGAUUUUGGCUCCACUUCCAAUUGGGUUUGCAGUUUUUAUGGUUCACUUGGCUACCAUACCCAUUACUGGUACUGGUAUUAACCCAGCGAGGAGCUUCGGUGCUGCUGUUAUUUACAACAAUGAUAAAGUCUGGGAUGAUCAUGUAAGCCUCUUGAUAGUCAACCAGAAACUUAUUUUUCUUGAUUUUAUGGUUGUUUUGAAGUUGGUGCUUUUUAACAUAAAACAUCAGAAGUAGGUUAAUUUUCAAGAAUAUGUUUAUCUUCUUGAUAAAAUAAUUUAAUUUCCUUUUUAAUUAUUUUUUGGAUGGGCAGUGGAUUUUCUGGGUUGGACCGUUUGUUGGAGCAAUUGCAGCAGCUGCAUACCAUCAAUACAUACUGAGAGCAGCAGCUAUCAAAGCUUUGGGAUCUUUCCGCAGCAACCCCACCAACUAAAAUGAAAGAAAGAACGAAAGAAAGAAAAACAAGAAAAAAAAAAAAAACCAAAGGCUUUGUGUAGCUAUCUUUAGUCUCUAGUCUUUCUUUUUCUCUAUUUGUUUGUUUGUUGUGUGUAAUGAGAGGAUUAUGAUGAUGACCCUUCUUUCUUCUUUCUUUUUUUACUUCAUUUUUUCUUUUCUUAUUGUUCUUUUGUAUCAUUGUUAAUGAGUAGUGCUGUUCUUUUUUCUUUCUUUUGAUCAUAUUUAAUUGCUUUGUGCAGUGUAGAACGUUCUCUCUCAACACUCUUUUAAUAAUUAGCCACUAAAUAAACUACCAGCUAACUAAAUUUUUAUCCUCUCGACCUUCAUUACAGCGGUGCUAGUGAAUUUGUGAGUAGCGGUUAGGCCAUCUUCGGGAACAGUUUUUUCAUAUGGC